GUGAGGAAUAUUGGUCAAUGGGCGGGAGCCUGAACCAGCCAAGUCGCGUGAAGGAAGAAGGAUCUAUGGUUCGUAAACUUCUUUUGCAGGGGAAUAAAGUGCAGGACGUGUCCUGUUUUGUAUGUACCCUGAGAAUAAGGAUCGGCUAACUCCGUGCCAGCAGCCGCGGUAAUACGGAGGAUCCGAGCGUUAUCCGGAUUUAUUGGGUUUAAAGGGUGCGUAGGUGGUUUGAUAAGUCAGCGGUGAAAGUUUGCAGCUUAACUGUAAAAAUGCCGUUGAAACUGUCGGACUUGAGUGUAAAUGAGGUAGGCGGAAUGCGUGGUGUAGCGGUGAAAUGCAUAGAUAUCACGCAGAACGCCGAUUGCGAAGGCAGCUUACUAAGCUACAACUGACACUGAAGCACGAAAGCGUGGGGAUCAAACAGGAUUAGAUACCCGGGUAGUCC
Molecule: ribosomal RNA, 445 nt
Filed under: uncultured bacterium
Lineage: Bacteria
Description: partial 16S ribosomal RNA
Rfam family: Bacterial small subunit ribosomal RNA
Source: RNAcentral